RNAcentral lists this ribosomal RNA (597 nucleotides) under uncultured bacterium. RNAcentral describes it as "bacterial SSU rRNA". It matches the Rfam family "Bacterial small subunit ribosomal RNA", at positions 329 to 916 of the family's 1533-position model. The record is from RNAcentral.
UCUAGAGAUCCUACGGGAGGCAGCAGUGGGGAAUUGUUCGCAAUGGGCGCAAGCCUGACGACGCAACGCCGCGUGGAGGAUGAAGAUCUUCGGGUCGUAAACUCCUUUCGAUCGAGACGAAUGGCCCUUGGGCUAAUACCCUGAGGGAGUGACGGUACCGAGAGAAGAAGCCCCGGCUAACUCCGUGCCAGCAGCCGCGGUAAUACGGGGGGGGCAAGCGUUGUUCGGAAUUACUGGGCGUAAAGGGCUCGUAGGCGGCCAACUAAGUCAUACGUGAAAUCCCUCGGCUUAACCGGGGAACUGCGUCUGAUACUGGAUGGCUUGAGUUCGGGAGAGGGAUGCGGAAUUCCAGGUGUAGCGGUGAAAUGCGUAGAUAUCUGGAGGAACACCGGUGGCGAAGGCGGCAUCCUGGACCGAUACUGACGCUGAGGAGCGAAAGCCAGGGGAGCAAACGGGAUUAGAUACCCCGGUAGUCCUGGCCCUAAACGAUGAAUGCUUGGUGUGGCGGGUAUCGAUCCCUGCCGUGCCGAAGCUAACGCAUUAAGCAUUCCGCCUGGGGAGUACGGUCGCAAGGCUGAAACUCAAAUGAAUUGACGG